AGCUUACAGAAAGAUUGCUUAUGAAUAUUAUUUUUAUAAAAGAGUAGAAUUUUAGAGUAGGGUAGACCGGUUAAAUUUGAUCAUUGUACUGAAAAGGAAAAUUGAAAGAAGAUUAAAAUUAUAAAGAAGAAAUAAAUUUAUGUACCUUUUGUAUCAGGGUUUAUUAAAAAUAAGAAGAUUAUUCUGUUCUCGAUUUAAGGAGAGCUACUUCUGUAAAUUCAUUAAAGUGGCAAAUUUAUAUAAAAUACAGAAUUAGGAGUGAAAUGCUAGUCGAUCUUUAAGGUAUCUAGUUUCCUAAGAAAUAAAUUUAAUUUAGGGUUAAAAGUGAUGUCGGUUAAACGAUGUGAAGCUAUUUUAACCCCGAAACUCUAGGGGAUAAGCUCUAGAGGAUUUUUAUAAAUUUAAUUAUAGAGUAAUUGUAGGCUUAGAAUUAGCCAUCAGGAUGAUGUUAUAAACCACCCUCAAAAUUUAUAAUUUUUAUUAUUUUAAAUAUUUAUUAGGAUAAUUUUAUAAAUGUUAAUUAAGAUCAAAUAAUGAUAAAAUUAGUAUGUGAGCAUAUUCUUGCUAAGGAAUUCGGCAAAUCUGUGUUCGCCUGUUUAUCAAAAACAUCGCCUUUAGUUUAAAUGAAAGGUCUCACCUGCCCACUGAAUAUUAAAGGGCCGCGGUAUUUUGACCGUGCAAAGGUAGCAUAAUCAUUAGUCUUUUAAUUGAAGACUGGAAUGAAAGGUAGGACGAGGCACAAUCUGUCUCUGUAGGAAUAGCAGAAUUUAUCUUUUUAGUGAAAAGACUAAAAUAAGGUUAGAGGACGAGAAGACCCUAUAGAACUUUAUAAGUUAUGGAUAUACCUUUUAGAAAAUUACAGAGGUUUUAUUUAAACCUUAUUUCGUUGGGGUGAUGGAGUAAUAACAUAACUUACUUUAAAUUUAACAUUAAUAUAUGAUUUUAUGAACCAUAAAUAAUGAAUAAAAGAUUAAGUUACCUUAGGGAUAACAGCGUAAUCUUCUUUGAGAGCUCAUAUCGAUAAGAAGGGUUGCGACCUCGAUGUUGGAUUAAAGAUAAUCUUAGGUGCAGAAGCUUAAGGUUUGGGUCUGUUCGACCCAUAAAACUUUACAUGAUCUGAGUUCAGACCGGCGUAAGCCAGGUCGGUUUCUAUCCUUAAUAAAGAAAAAUAUUUUAGUACGAAAGGACCAAAUAUUGGAGAUUAUCUUUAAACAAAGAAUAUU
RNAcentral lists this ribosomal RNA (1223 nucleotides) under Serratella zapekinae. RNAcentral's name for it is "16S ribosomal RNA". It matches the Rfam family "Bacterial large subunit ribosomal RNA", at positions 544 to 2727 of the family's 2925-position model. Lineage: Eukaryota; Metazoa; Arthropoda; Insecta; Ephemeroptera; Ephemerellidae. The record is from RNAcentral.